AAUCCAUAGGUUAAUGAGGCGAACCGGGGGAACUGAAACAUCUAAGUACCCCGAGGAAAAGAAAUCAACCGAGAUUCCCCCAGUAGCGGCGAGCGAACGGGGAGGAGCCCAGAGCCUGAAUCAGCAUGUGUGUUAGUGGAAGCGUCUGGAAAGGCGCGCGAUACAGGGUGACAGCCCCGUACACAAAAGCGCAUGUGCUGUGAGCUCGAUGAGUAGGGCGGGACACGUGGUAUCCUGUCUGAAUAUGGGGGGACCAUCCUCCAAGGCUAAAUACUCCUGACUGACCGAUAGUGAACCAGUACCGUGAGGGAAAGGCGAAAAGAACCCCGGCGAGGGGAGUGAAAAAGAACCUGAAACCGUGUACGUACAAGCAGUGGGAGCACCCUUCGGGGUGUGACUGCGUACCUUUUGUAUAAUGGGUCAGCGACUUAUAUUCUGUAGCAAGGUUAACCGAAUAGGGGAGCCGGAGGGAAACCGAGUCUUAAUUGGGCGUUAAGUUGCAGGGUAUAGACCCGAAACCCGGUGAUCUAGCCAUGGGCAGGUUGAAGGUUGGGUAACACUAACUGGAGGACCGAACCGACUAAUGUUGAAAAAUUAGCGGAUGACCUGUGGCUGGGGGUGAAAGGCCAAUCAAACCGGGAGAUAGCUGGUUCUCCCCGAAAGCUAUUUAGGUAGCGCCUCGUGAAUUCAUCUCCGGGGGUAGAGCACUGUUUCGGCUAGGGGGCCAUCCCGGCUUACCAACCCGAUGCAAACUGCGAAUACCGGAGAAUGUUAUCACGGGAGACACACGGCGGGUGCUAACGUCCGUCGUGAAGAGGGAAACAACCCAGACCGCCAGCUAAGGUCCCAAAGUCAUGGUUAAGUGGGAAACGAUGUGGGAAGGCCCAGACAGCCAGGAUGUUGGCUUAGAAGCAGCCAUCAUUUAAAGAAAGCGUAAUAGCUCACUGGUCGAGUCGGCCUGCGCGGAAGAUGUAACGGGGCUAAACCAUGCACCGAAGCUGCGGCAGCGAACGUAUCACCCAAGACAACUUUGCGGAGUUGACGAUUGACGGAGCGAAGCGACGUCAAAGCGUUCAUUAAAGUCGAGUUGGCUUAGGGAUACGUUCGUU
Molecule: ribosomal RNA, 1109 nt
Filed under: Salmonella enterica subsp. enterica
Lineage: Bacteria; Pseudomonadati; Pseudomonadota; Gammaproteobacteria; Enterobacterales; Enterobacteriaceae
Also listed under: 1 other name
Description: partial 23S ribosomal RNA
Rfam family: Bacterial large subunit ribosomal RNA
Source: RNAcentral